This is a long non-coding RNA of Neofelis nebulosa (Clouded leopard), 929 nucleotides long. RefSeq lists it as uncharacterized. NCBI's taxonomy places the organism in Eukaryota, Metazoa, Chordata, Mammalia, Carnivora, Felidae. The transcript has 4 exons. The record is from RefSeq and is a predicted model, not a curated record.
CAUCGUUGGCCUUUGGAAUGAGAGGCCUGGUAUAUCAGGAGUGGCCCACAGCUACAUUUGUACUCUGACGCGUUGGGAAGCCCCCAUGAUCUUCGAAGAGAGCUAUUCACAGCUCAUUUCCAGGAAGGGGACCUAUGUGAGCAAAGGGGUCAAGUCCAGUCAGCUGGAACUAAGUGAGAUUGCCAUGGCUGAGAAGCAGCCCCAAGGAGUUGAGGAUGGUGGAAAUCCUUAGAGAAACAAGUACAUCAGUGGUAGAGGCAGAGGAGGGGCCGUAUAAUUUCAAGUGAAUCUGCUUGGAAGAUUGCAUAUCUCGUGAAGAAAAGGAAUCUGACUUUUAGGAGCAGUGAUAGUCUGUCACAUAAAACAUGCGUAGUGAAGAAGAUCGAACCUGACAUUGGAUCAUGACCAUGGUCGGGACCGGAGAGAUGGUAUCCCCGGGUCUCUCCAGCUCUCUGAUCCAUGCAGAAUCAAAACACCUUUUAAGAAAAGAAUAAAGAAGCCUCAUCAGAGAGAAGUGAAAGUAUUGCUGGAUUCCUCUUGGCUGAAGAAAGAGUCAACAGAAAGUUGGAGGAGAACGUAUCAACCACACCAGAGAAGUUUCUGGUGAGUGGCCCUUAGGAAAGAGGGAGGCUUUGAAAGACCUCCCAGAAUCUGUGUGAGAGGAAGAGGCAACUCUACGCACUGCCAGGGCCCAGGGAACCCACAGCCUGUUCUCAAGGGCACCACACCUCCCUCCAAGUCUGCUCUCCCAUACUGGAGGAAUCAGAAACCUGAUUGGCAAGUUGGGGAAGAGUGACAGGGGAGGACAGAAGAAUGCAACAACCCUGCCCCCUUCACUGACUGCAGCAUUUUUUUUCCCUCUUCUUUUAACAACACAUUCUGUCUAGAGAAGGGUGAGUCCUUGAAACUUGGAAUGAACCUGGAAACUU